GCACCUCAGCUCGGGAUGGGCGGCUCUGCCUGGGAGGUGACAAGACGUGUACCGCGACACAAGCUGAGCUGGAUCAAGGGAGACAUAGCGAGGGGAGCAGGGGGGAGACAACCUGGACAGGCCACCAGGCCAUCACAGUCGUAUCCGGCC
Molecule: long non-coding RNA, 150 nt
Organism: Lampris incognitus (smalleye Pacific opah)
Lineage: Eukaryota; Metazoa; Chordata; Actinopteri; Lampriformes; Lampridae
Exons: 3
Source: RefSeq, a predicted model, not a curated record